CGGGGUAGCUCAGUCGGUAGAGCAACGCACUCGUAAUGCGUAGGUCGCCAGUUCGAGUCUGGCCUCCGG
This 69-nucleotide transfer RNA is filed under the name marine eukaryotic metagenome. It matches the Rfam family "tRNA". Rfam says of the family: Transfer RNA (tRNA) molecules are approximately 80 nucleotides in length. Their secondary structure includes four short double-helical elements and three loops (D, anti-codon, and T loops). The record is from RNAcentral.